This 951-nucleotide ribosomal RNA is filed under the name uncultured Methanobrevibacter sp. RNAcentral's name for it is "bacterial SSU rRNA". It matches the Rfam family "Archaeal small subunit ribosomal RNA", at positions 48 to 1001 of the family's 1478-position model. Lineage: Archaea; Methanobacteriati; Methanobacteriota; Methanobacteria; Methanobacteriales; Methanobacteriaceae. The record is from RNAcentral.
GCCAUGCAAGUCGAACGAGUUUAGGCUCGUGGCGUACGGCUCAGUAACACGUGGAUAACCUACCCUUAGGACUGGGAUAACCCUGGGAAACUGGGGAUAAUACCGGAUAGGCAAUUUUUCCUGUAAUGGUUUUUUGUUUAAAUGUUUUUUCGCCUAAGGAUGGGUCUGCGGCCGAUUAGGUAGUUGGUUAGGUAAUGGCUUACCAAGCCGUUGAUCGGUACGGGUUGUGAGAGCAAGAGCCCGGAGAUGGAACCUGAGACAAGGUUCCAGGCCCUACGGGGUGCAGCAGGCGCGAAACCUCCGCAAUGUGAGAAAUCGCGACGGGGGGAUCCCAAGUGCCAUUCUUAACGGGAUGGCUUUUCAUUAGUGUAAAGAGCUUUUGGAAUAAGGGCUGGGCAAGACCGGUGCCAGCCGCCGCGGUAACACCGGCAGCUCUAGUGGUAGCAGUUUUUAUUGGGCCUAAAGCGUCCGUAGCCGGUUUAAUAAGUCUCUGGUGAAAUCCUGUAGCUUAACUGUGGGAAUUGCUGGAGAUACUAUUAGACUUGAGACCGGGAGAGGUUAGAGGUACUCCCAGGGUAGAGGUGAAAUUCUGUAAUCCUGGGAGGACCGCCUGUUGCGAAGGCGUCUAACUGGAACGGUUCUGACGGUGAGGGACGAAAGUUAGGGGCGCGAACCGGAUUAGAUACCCGGGUAGUCCUAACUGUAAACGAUGCGGACUUGGUGUUGGGGUGGCUUUGAGCUGCUCCAGUGCCGAAGGGAAGCUGUUAAGUCCGCCGCCUGGGAAGUACGGUCGCAAGACUGAAACUUAAAGGAAUUGGCGGGGGAGCACCACAACGCGUGGAGCCUGCGGUUUAAUUGGAUUCAACGCCGGACAUCUCACCAGAGGCGACAGCUGUAUGAUAGCCAGGUUGAUGACUUUGCUUGACUAGCUGAGAGGUGGUGCAUGGGCCA